Molecule: non-coding RNA, 201 nt
Organism: Pelobates cultripes (western spadefoot toad)
Lineage: Eukaryota; Metazoa; Chordata; Amphibia; Anura; Pelobatidae
Source: the annotation of a GenBank genome assembly
CAGGAGAGUAAAAUAAUGGAGGAAUACAUCAAAGAAUCCUUAAGCAAAGGGCAAAUAAGAAAGUCAUCCUCACCAGCUGGUGCAGGAUUCUUUUUUGUUGAGAAAAAGGGUGGUGAGUUACGCCCUUGCAUAGACUACAGGGCACUUAAUAAAAUCACUGUAAAAAAUGCAUACCCUAUCCCACUUAUUUCCGAAUUGUUC